CUCCAUCCCAGCUAUUUGGGUCUUAGGGUCAGCCACCCGCGUCUUAAAUUUCCACUUGACCCAAUUUAUCACCUUGUUAUACGGCCAUCUUUUAAUGUUCUCAUGAUCUCAUAUCAUUUAAAAUCGCAUCCAACCAUCUUUUUUUCGGUUUUCCCAUACCCCUCUUCCUCCUAUAUUUAUUUUAAUUAUCAUUCUUAUUGCAUUCGAUUCUUUUUCCCUCAUGACAUA
Non-coding RNA from Cinara cedri, 228 nucleotides. Lineage: Eukaryota; Metazoa; Arthropoda; Insecta; Hemiptera; Aphididae. The record is from the annotation of a GenBank genome assembly.